AAGUCAGAUGUGAAAAGCCCGGGGCUCAACCUCGGAAUUGCAUUUGAAACUGGCAAACUAGAGUACUGUAGAGGGGGUAGAAUUUCAGGUGUAGCGGUGAAAAUGCGUAGAGAUCUGAAGGAAUACCGGUGGCGAAGGCGGCCCCCUGGACAGAUACUGACACUCAGAUGCGAAAGCGUGGGGAGCAAACAGGAUUAGAUACCCUGGUAG
This 210-nucleotide ribosomal RNA is filed under the name uncultured bacterium. RNAcentral's name for it is "partial 16S ribosomal RNA". It matches the Rfam family "Bacterial small subunit ribosomal RNA", at positions 585 to 793 of the family's 1533-position model. The record is from RNAcentral.